RNAcentral lists this ribosomal RNA (180 nucleotides) under uncultured bacterium. Its description in RNAcentral is "partial 16S ribosomal RNA". It matches the Rfam family "Bacterial small subunit ribosomal RNA", at positions 570 to 744 of the family's 1533-position model. The record is from RNAcentral.
CGUAGGCGGAUUGGAAGUUAGGAGGGUGAAAUCCCGGGGGCCUCAACCCUCGGAACUGCCUUCCAAAACUCCCAGUCUAGAGUUCGAGAGAGGUGAGUGGAAUUCCAAGUGUAGAGGUGAAAUUCGUAGAUAUUUGGAGGAACACCAGUGGCGAAGGCGGCUCACUGGCUCGAUACUGAC